UGCAGUCGAGCGGUAGCACACGAGAGAGCUUGCUCUCCGGGUGACGAGCGGCGGACGGGUGAGUAAUGUCUGGGAAACUGCCUGAUGGAGGGGGAUAACUACUGGAAACGGUAGCUAAUACCGCAUAACGUCUUCGGACCAAAGUGGGGGACCUUCGGGCCUCACGCCAUCAGAUGUGCCCAGAUGGGAUUAGCUAGUAGGUGGGGUAAUGGCUCACCUAGGCGACGAUCCCUAGCUGGUCUGAGAGGAUGACCAGCCACACUGGAACUGAGACACGGUCCAGACUCCUACGGGAGGCAGCAGUGGGGAAUAUUGCACAAUGGGCGCAAGCCUGAUGCAGCCAUGCCGCGUGUGUGAAGAAGGCCUUCGGGUUGUAAAGCACUUUCAGCGAGGAGGAAGGGUUCAGUGUUAAUAGCACUGUUCAUUGACGUUACUCGCAGAAGAAGCACCGGCUAACUCCGUGCCAGCAGCCGCGGUAAUACGGAGGGUGCAAGCGUUAAUCGGAAUUACUGGGCGUAAAGCGCACGCAGGCGGUUUGUUAAGUCAGAUGUGAAAUCCCCGCGCUUAACGUGGGAACUGCAUUUGAAACUGGCAAGCUAGAGUCUUGUAGAGGGGGGUAGAAUUCCAGGUGUAGCGGUGAAAUGCGUAGAGAUCUGGAGGAAUACCGGUGGCGAAGGCGGCCCCCUGGACAAAGACUGACGCUCAGGUGCGAAAGCGUGGGGGAGCAAACAGGAUUAGAUACCCUGGUAGUCCCCGCUGUAAACGAUGUCGACUUGGAGGGUGUGCCCUUGAAGCGUGGCUUCCCG
RNAcentral lists this ribosomal RNA (806 nucleotides) under Serratia proteamaculans. Its description in RNAcentral is "bacterial SSU rRNA". It matches the Rfam family "Bacterial small subunit ribosomal RNA", at positions 56 to 849 of the family's 1533-position model. The record is from RNAcentral. Lineage: Bacteria; Pseudomonadati; Pseudomonadota; Gammaproteobacteria; Enterobacterales; Yersiniaceae.